GAUGAACGCUGGCGGUAUGCCUAACACAUGCAAGUCGAACGAACUCUUCGGAGUGAGUGGCGGACGGGUGAGUAACGCGUAAGGAACUGCCCUUAGGAGGGGGACAACCACUGGAAACGGUGGCUAAUACCCCAUGUGCCGAGAGGUGAAAGAUUUAUCGCCUGAGGAUGUUCUUGCGUCAGAUUAGCUAGUUGGUGGGGUAAUGGCCUACCAAGGCGACGAUCUGUAGCUGUUCUGAGAGGAAGAUCAGCCACACUGGGACUGAGACACGGCCCAGACUCCUACGGGAGGCAGCAGUGGGGAAUUUUCCGCAAUGGGCGAAAGCCUGACGGAGCAAUACCGCGUGAACGAAGAAGGCUCUAGGGUCGUAAAGUUCUUUUAUCAGGGAAGAAGGAUUGACGGUACCUGAUGAAUCAGCAUCGGCUAACUCCGUGCCAGCCGCCGCCGUAACAC
RNAcentral lists this ribosomal RNA (453 nucleotides) under uncultured bacterium. RNAcentral describes it as "bacterial SSU rRNA". It matches the Rfam family "Bacterial small subunit ribosomal RNA", at positions 28 to 526 of the family's 1533-position model. The record is from RNAcentral.